GCAGAAAACCUGGGGAGUAUAAUAACUGAGGAUUUCAGCAUAGUUAAAGCAUUGAGCAACAGUUGUAUUUUGCUUAAGGAAGCUCACUGCAUACAAUUGUUCCCAAGGCAUAACAGCAGAUGUUAUUUGAUGAACACACUGGAGACAAGACAUGAGUCUUUGAGUAUGGCGUCGGAGAGGGGCAGCCCUAGCAGUUCCUGACCUGUACAUUUCCACAUUGGUGUCACAU
Kogia breviceps (pygmy sperm whale) is the source of this 229-nucleotide non-coding RNA. Lineage: Eukaryota; Metazoa; Chordata; Mammalia; Artiodactyla; Physeteridae. The record is from RefSeq and is a predicted model, not a curated record.